UACGUAGGGUGCGAGCGUUAAUCGGAAUUACUGGGCGUAAAGCGUGCGCAGGCGGUUCGUGAUGUCUGAUGUGAAAGCCCCGGGCUCAACCUGGGAAUUGCAUUGGAAACUAGCGGGCUGGAGUGUGGCAGAGGGGGGUGGAAUUCCGCGUGUAGCAGUGAAAUGCGUAGAUAUGCGGAGGAACACCGAUGGCGAAGGCAAUCCCCUGGGCCUGCACUGACGCUCAUGCACGAAAGCGUGGGGAGCAAACAGG
This 253-nucleotide ribosomal RNA is filed under the name uncultured bacterium. RNAcentral describes it as "partial 16S ribosomal RNA". It matches the Rfam family "Bacterial small subunit ribosomal RNA", at positions 524 to 776 of the family's 1533-position model. The record is from RNAcentral.